UACGUAGGGUGCAAGCGUUGUCCGGAAUUGUGGGGCGUAAAGAGCUCGUAGGCGGUUUGUCGCGUCUGCUGUGAAAAUCCAGGGCUUAACCCUGGACCUGCAGUGGGUACGGGCAGACUAGAGUGCGGUAGGGGAGAUCGGAAUUCCUGGUGUAGCGGUGAAAUGCGCAGAUAUCAGGAGGAACACCGGUGGCGAAGGCGGAUCUCUGGGCCGUAACUGACGCUGAGGAGCGAAAGCAUGGGGAGCGAACAGG
RNAcentral lists this ribosomal RNA (253 nucleotides) under uncultured bacterium. Its description in RNAcentral is "partial 16S ribosomal RNA". It matches the Rfam family "Bacterial small subunit ribosomal RNA", at positions 524 to 776 of the family's 1533-position model. The record is from RNAcentral.